RNAcentral lists this ribosomal RNA (319 nucleotides) under uncultured bacterium. Its description in RNAcentral is "bacterial SSU rRNA". It matches the Rfam family "Bacterial small subunit ribosomal RNA", at positions 29 to 375 of the family's 1533-position model. The record is from RNAcentral.
AACGAACGCUGGCGGCAUGCCUAACACAUGCAAGUCGAACGAAGUCUUCGGACUUAGUGGCGCACGGGUGCGUAACGCGUGGGAAUCUGCCCUUGGGUGCGGAAUAACUUCUCGAAAGGGAUGCUAAUACCGCAUAAUGUCGUAAGACCAAAGAUUUAUCGCCCAAGGAUGAGCCCGCGUAAGAUUAGCUAGUUGGUGGGGUAAAAGCCUACCAAGGCGACGAUCUUUAGCUGGUCUGAGAGGAUGAUCAGCCACACUGGGACUGAGACACGGCCCAGACUCCUACGGGAGGCAGCAGUGGGGAAUAUUGCGCAAUGGG